CUUCUCCACCUACGCGUUUAUUCCCAGUUCGAUCGUGGCUCGGAGAGCUACUUGAUGGGUUAGCGUCUUCCUGUCUUUCCUGCUAUUCCAACAACGGCUUGGGUUAGCGUCUUCCUGGAUAGCUUUCUUUCACUCUUUCACGGCCCGGCCGAGCAACAAUAGGAAGUGCUUUCUUAGCAUAAAAAAAAGCAAGCUUUCAAACCCUCACUGUGGUGGGUAUGGUCUGGACCUAUAGAAGAUCUUUUCAACAGGAAUUUUUUCCAAAAAGAUUGGAAGCUUUAGCGGAUGUGCCUGCCUAUGAUUGAUCUUUCUUACGGUGAAACCCGCUUGGUUUACUGGUUUCACUUCCUACUUGCUAACUCCGAGUUUGCAAAUAGGGAAUACCUUAGUUCAUUCCUUCUCAGGGCAUUUAGGAAUGUAUGGAUGGGGAUACUUCUUUGUUUGAGCUACCCUUGCUUUCGAGUUAGCUUACUAGUCUUGUUUCGGGGACUGGACUGGCUUGGUUUAACUCCGUGCUUAGCUGGAUUGGUUUAAGAAUUCGAUUCUACAGUCAUCGCGUACCUCCUUUGUUACACUCAGGGAGAUACCUACUUUCAUCGUUAGAUCGAGUUCUGCCUACUCGACUAAUACCAGCUAUCAUUUCUUAGUCUUGGAGGAGUGUUGAGUUGUGACAAGCUAUAUGGCUGUGACAUGGAGCCACUCAAAUUCGGUAAGUGAACUCCAACCCGAAACGCGGUCCCAAGCCUCCUUCAUCAUUAACAUCUCUCUUUCUCAUUCCCCGCUUGACAUCUUUUGUCUCUCAAUGGUGCUCCGCGCAUUCUGGAUAUUUUUGUUAAGCAUUCACUUAGAGAUGUCGUCUUCCUCCCGAUAAGAAGCUAUCGGCUUUUGCUACGGUACGGGUUUUUCGGGAAAAAUAAUUGGCCCGGAGAGUCUUUUACCUCUAGCCACUGAACCACCGCCCUUACGUUUACAUAAUAGGAGGGAGGCACCCGGGACAGAACAAUCAUGCUUUGGUCUUUUUGUGACGGGCUCCCUUUAUCACGACCGAAGCCUUUCAUAUCGGCUUCUGGGGCUUGGUUUGUUUUUGAUGGAAAGGGGCAAGGGACAGAGGAGUCCACUAGCCUGUCUUUCCGGCCUCACUUGAUCGG
Molecule: long non-coding RNA, 1148 nt
Filed under: Fragaria vesca (wild strawberry)
Lineage: Eukaryota; Viridiplantae; Streptophyta; Magnoliopsida; Rosales; Rosaceae
Description: long non-coding RNA (FVES_LNC004394)
Source: RNAcentral